Molecule: long non-coding RNA, 782 nt
Filed under: Homo sapiens (human)
Lineage: Eukaryota; Metazoa; Chordata; Mammalia; Primates; Hominidae
Description: non-protein coding lnc-BPY2B-8:1
Source: RNAcentral
CCUGAAGAGCUUGGUUGCAGAAACUUCGGGGUCUACAAAGGCCGGCAGGAGCUGAGCCAAAAGAGCUUGUUUGCUGGGAGGCAGGAGCUGGGCUGGGAGAUGCAGCCAGGAGGAACAGCUGGGCCUACAGAGGCCGCCAUGCGGGAGGCAGAGGACGGGCCUCCUCAAGUCAGCCUCUCCAGACCCACUUGCAGCCUCCUGGCAUCCUCUCCGGGCCCAGCUCUUCCUCCCGGCUGUGUCUCCAGGCCCGACUCCGGCCUCCCAACAACGUCUUUGGACUCAGCUCCUGCCCAGCUCCCAGGGGCCCUGGUAGGCCCACAACUUUCCGAAGCCAAGCUCCCCAGGCCCAGCUCAGGCCUCACGGUGGCCUCUUCAGGCUCAGCUCCUACCCUCCAAUGGCAUCUGCAGGCCCCAAACAGCCUCCGGUUGGUGGGCUCCUCUAGGCCCAGCUUGGGCCUCCUGGUAGCCUCUGAAGGCCCAAAUCGUCCCGAAGUUGGCCUCUCCAGGACCAGCUCCAGCCUCCUGGCUGCCUCUGCAGGCCCAAGUCUUCCUCAAGUCGGCCUGGAAGUGGGCCUGGAAGAGCUGCAAGUCAGCCUCCCUGGGCCCAGCUCCGUCCUCUCGGUGGCCUCUCCAGGUGCAAAACUUCCUCGAGUCAGCCUCUCCAGGCCCAGCUCCUCCUGCCUCCCAGUGGCCUCUUUUGGCCCAGCCCAGCUCAUGGCUCUCGGCGGCCUUCCCAGGCCUUGCUUUUGACUUUUGGCGGCCUCUUCAGGCCCCGAACUUGA